AUUGAACGCUGGCGGCAGGCCUAACACAUGCAAGUCGAGCGAGCGGCGGCCGGGUGAGUAAUGUAUGGGGAUCUGCCCGGUAGAGGGGGAUAACUACUGGAAACGGUGGCUAAUACCGCAUAAUAUCGGAUGAACCCAUAUGGGAUUAGAUAGUAGGGGGGGGAAAGGCUCACGUAGGCGACGAUCUCUAGCUGGUCUGAGAGGAUGAUCAGCCACACUGGAACUGAGACACGGCCCAGGCUCCUACGGGAGGCAGCAGUGGGGUAGAUUGCACAAUGGGCGCAAGCCUGAUGCAGCCAUGCCGCGUGUAUGAAGAAGGCCUUAGGGUUGUAAAGUACUUUCAGCGGGGAGGCGUUACCCGCAGAAGAAGCACCGGCUAACUCCGUGCCAGCAGCCGCGGUAAUUC
Molecule: ribosomal RNA, 406 nt
Filed under: uncultured bacterium
Lineage: Bacteria
Description: partial 16S ribosomal RNA
Rfam family: Bacterial small subunit ribosomal RNA
Source: RNAcentral